Molecule: ribosomal RNA, 253 nt
Filed under: uncultured bacterium
Lineage: Bacteria
Description: partial 16S ribosomal RNA
Rfam family: Bacterial small subunit ribosomal RNA
Source: RNAcentral
UACGAAGGGGGCUAGCGUUGCUCGGAAUCACUGGGCGUAAAGGGUGCGUAGGCGGGUCUUUAAGUCAGGGGGGAAAUCCUGGAGCUCAACUCCAGAACUGCCUUUGAUACUGAGGAUCUUGAGUUCGGGAGAGGUGAGUGGAAAUGCGAGUGUAGAGGUGAAAUUCGUAGAUAUUCGCAAGAACACCAGUGGCGAAGGCGGCUCACUGGCCCGAUACUGACGCUGAGGCACGAAAGCGUGGGGAGCAAACAGG